AAAAUGAUUGGUCAGGUGAUGAUUUAAAGCCAGGAUGCAGCCAGCAGGUCUAAAGCAAUGGAUUGCAAAAGGGUGUGAAGGAGCUGAGUGAGCAGCAAGCAAACAUUCUGUAAUACACUGGAUGAUGAUGUGGAAAAUGGUUGGAUUUGAUUGGCUGUUCUACUGGCCUUGCGAUGGACCAGUAUUCAAUUCAUGGGAUGAGCAGCUCCACAAUCUCAAUCCAGAUUUCCACCCUAGACGUCUGGAGACACUUAUUAGGAUAAAAGCCUUUUCUGAUGAUGGGUGGAAUCCCACUGCUUAAAAGAGAUGAAGUGAUGCAGCUCUCACUGACAACACUGGUGGCUCACACAUCAAAGUUCAAAGGGUGUUGGGGCUCUGUUGAGCAAUGGGCUGAGAAUACCCUGGUUGACAGCCUACGCAAACAAAGUGACAUGGUUGGGCCAUCACAGUGAGCCUAGGAUAAUGUCCAGACCUGAACCGGUUGAUGUAUCAAUAUAUAGACUGUAUACCUCUACUCGCUGAGACACUCAAGAAUUCCUUUCUUUUAAUCAUUUUUUAUAAAUUAUGUACAUACAACUUUAUCUGAUUUUGAAUGAGCCUCUCUUCAAGAUACAAUCCCCUGGAGUUAACACUGAUUAGAACAAAGCACACAUAUGCUAAAGUACAUCUCCAUUUCUGCAGAAAUCAUAUCUUUGAAAUAUAAAUCAGUGUCUUUUCUUCUUUAAUAAUAAUGCCUUAGCCUUGGGAAUAACCUGCUUUAACUCGCAGGGCUGCAGAGACAGCAGACCCAUUUACAGCUGUAAAGAAAUGAAGUGUGUAGAGAGACGAAGCAUCCACAGUGUUGCAGCCCUGCAGGCUGUGUUCCGUGUCGACAACUCCUUGUACAUUUGAGUUCCUGUUGUGUACUGUAUCUGACUUGUGCAGGCAUGCUUAGUCUGUAUUUUUAAUUGGUGGAGGUUGUGUUCCAGAGUGUAUGUCACCUUAACAAUGUUUUCAAGCUUGCUUCAUUAGAGUGCUGAUUGUAAGACAGGAAAAUAAUAACAUCAUGUAUAUUAAUUCUGAGCCUAAGGACUUCAUCUCACAUUCACAAAAGAAAUAUUGUAAAAGGA
Molecule: long non-coding RNA, 1109 nt
Organism: Lepisosteus oculatus (spotted gar)
Lineage: Eukaryota; Metazoa; Chordata; Actinopteri; Semionotiformes; Lepisosteidae
Source: RefSeq, a predicted model, not a curated record